Molecule: non-coding RNA, 27 nt
Filed under: Homo sapiens (human)
Lineage: Eukaryota; Metazoa; Chordata; Mammalia; Primates; Hominidae
Source: RNAcentral
ACCGGAUAUGACUGGCUUUCGGGUGAG